Molecule: unclassified non-coding RNA, 240 nt
Filed under: soil metagenome
Description: partial contains 5.8S ribosomal RNA, internal transcribed spacer 2, and large subunit ribosomal RNA
Source: RNAcentral
AACGCACGAGACCUGCGGACCUGCGGAGGGAUCAUUACCGGAGAGAGGCGACUCUCGAAGGCCCAAACCCAUUGUGAAUCUACUCUUCUCGUGCUUCGGCAGGCGGUCCCAGGGGGGACCUCUGCGUAAAGGCGCCUGCCGAAGGAACCAGAACUCUGCUGUACGGAUGUCCUCUGAGGAGUUGUUAGGCCUCGUUAGGGGUCGAGAAUCGCUAAAAACUUUCAACAACGGAUCUCUAGA